Non-coding RNA from Paramuricea clavata, 85 nucleotides. The record is from the annotation of a GenBank genome assembly. NCBI's taxonomy places the organism in Eukaryota, Metazoa, Cnidaria, Anthozoa, Malacalcyonacea, Plexauridae.
AACCUCGUACCCAUGGUAUUUUGCUUCCCACUCAGCGAAAUCCAUUUUUGCUGAGUGGGAAGCAAAAUGCCCUGGGUACAAGGUU